RNAcentral lists this ribosomal RNA (648 nucleotides) under Triticum aestivum (bread wheat). RNAcentral describes it as "partial small subunit ribosomal RNA". The record is from RNAcentral. Lineage: Eukaryota; Viridiplantae; Streptophyta; Magnoliopsida; Poales; Poaceae.
AAAAUUGGCAUCGUUAUCAAGCUUGAUUUUGAAAAAGCUUACGAUAAAGUGAACUGGGAUUUCCUGCUUAAGUGUCUUGAGAUGAGAGGUUUUGGCAAAACCUGGUGCAGGUGGAUGGAGAAAAUCCUCCACAAUGGCACCGUUAGUGUGAAAAUAAACAAUACUUCAGGGCCUUACUUCCAAAGCCACAAAGGAGUGCGACAAGGGGAUCCGGUGUCCCCCUUUCUGUUCAAUAUUGCUGCCGAGUGCUUGUGUAAAAUGGUGCUGCAAGCACAAACAAACGGUUUGAUUGAUGGGUUGGCCUCGGAUUUGGUCGAUAAGGGAGUGGCCAUUCUGCAAUAUGCAGAUGACACAAUCCUGUGCAUUGAACAUAACCCUGAAAAAGCGCUAAACCUGAAACUGUUGUUGUAUAUGUUCGAACUCAUGUCAGGGCUGAAAAUUAACUUUCAAAAAAGUGAAAUUCUUAGCGUGGGGGGAGAUGAUAAUAUUUUGAAAGAAUAUGCUGAUAUUUUUGGUUGCCAGAUUGGGCAUUUCCCAAUGAAGUAUCUUGGUGUUCCUGUCAGUUACUCGACUUUGAAAGGUGUGGAUUGGGAAUACCUUGAGGCAAAAUUUGUCAAGAGAUGUGAAUCUGGACUGGGAAGUAAUGCC